AUAGUCUAAUUUUGAGAAGUUAGUUUAAUUUUUGGGUGAUGGAGAGAAAAUAUUAGGCUAUGAAAGAACAUGGUACUAUAAUAUUUUGAGAAGUUAGUUUAGUUAUUAGGUGAUGGAGAGAAAAUAUUAGGCUAUGAGAGGACAUGGUACUUUAAUAUUAGAGGUUAGUUUAGAUAAUAGCUGAUUGAGAGGAAAUAUUAGGCUAUGAAAGAACACGGUACUCUAAUUUUGAGGUUAGUUUGGUUAUUAGGUGAUGGAGAGAAAAUAUUAGGCUAUGAAAGAACAUGGUACUCUAAUUUUUGUGAAGUUAGUUUAGUUAUUAGGUGAUGGUGAGAAAAUAUUAGGCUAUGAGAGGACAUGGUACUUUAAUAUUAGAGGUUAGUUUAGAUGAAAUAGCUGAUUGAGAGGAAAUAUUAGGCUAUGAAAGAACAUGGUACUCUGAUUUUGAGGUUAGUUUAGUAAGAGGAAAUAUUAGGCUAUGAAAGAACACGGUACUCUAAUUUUGAGGUUAGUUUAGUUAUUAGGUGAUGGAGAGAAAAUUUUAGGCUACUCUUUGCUUUUAUCUUUUGUGGGACGGGGAGUAGCGGGCUUUUUUUU
Long non-coding RNA from Eriocheir sinensis (Chinese mitten crab), 597 nucleotides. RefSeq lists it as uncharacterized. The transcript is spliced from 5 exons. Lineage: Eukaryota; Metazoa; Arthropoda; Malacostraca; Decapoda; Varunidae. The record is from RefSeq and is a predicted model, not a curated record.